Drosophila serrata is the source of this 3971-nucleotide unclassified non-coding RNA. NCBI's taxonomy places the organism in Eukaryota, Metazoa, Arthropoda, Insecta, Diptera, Drosophilidae. The record is from RefSeq and is a predicted model, not a curated record.
UUGUGAAAUUCGCGCGUGCGGUGUUUGUUUAUAAAUACAAUUGGACCAAUUGAUGAAAUUCCCAAUUAAUAUCGAACUGUAAAUUGGCCGGAAACUACGCAUUAUAACCAACAAGGAUGCCCGUUAUCGAGGGCAAGGAUUUGGUGCAGCUGCAACGCCGCCAGCAACAGGUGCGCAACAUCUGCAUUUUGGCGCAUGUGGAUCAUGGCAAGACAACGCUGGCGGACUCCCUGGUUGCCAGCAAUGGGAUCAUAUCCCAAAGGAUGGCAGGUAAGCUUCGCUACCUGGACAAUCGGGCGGAUGAGCAGGAGCGUGGAAUCACCAUGAAAAGCAGCAGCAUCUCACUGUAUUACCAAGAGGCUGAGAAUCCUGAUGGAAAUCAGGAUUUCCUCAUCAAUCUUAUUGAUUCCCCGGGGCAUGUGGACUUCUCCAGCGAAGUGUCCACCGCAGUGAGGCUAUGCGAUGGCGCCAUUGUCGUGGUGGAUGUGGUGGAAGGUGUGGGUCCGCAAACUCGCGCCUGCUUGAAACAAAUCUACGAGGAGCAAUUGAAACCUGUCCUGGUGCUGAACAAGUUGGACCGUCUGAUCCUAGAGAAGCAGCUUGAUCCGCUGGAUGCGUACUUUCAUUUAACCCAAGUCCUUGAGCAAGUCAACGCCGUCUUGGGUAGCAUUUUUGCAUCGGAUAUCUUGGCCAGGGAAGACAUCACCAAGAAGGAUAACUACGAGUCUGCCCUGGAGGAAGUGGACGACUCAGAGCUGUAUUUUUCGCCCAGCUCUGGGAAUGUCAUCUUCUGCUCCGCCUAUGAUGGCUGGGCCUUCUCCGUCCGAGACUUUGCCGCCAUGUAUUCCAAGCGUUUGGAAAUGAAAAGAGAAGACCUCGAGCAGGUUCUGUGGGGUGACUUCUAUUAUAACUCCAAGAAAAAGGAAGCUAUGCCAGGUGCCCAGGAGAAAGCCAAGAAGCCCAUGUUUGUGCAGUUUGUGCUGGAGAAUAUUUGGAGUCUGUACGACAUUAUAGCUAUCAGAAAGGACAAGGACAAACUGCCCGGAAUAGCUGAGAAGCUGGGACUUAAGUUGGCCGUUAGAGAUUUGCGCUUGACCGAUCCUAAGCUGCAGAUCAAGGCAGUACUUGGACAGUGGCUACCCAUUGAUAGAAGUGUCCUGCACAUGGUCGUAGCUCACGUUCCACCGCCGCACCAAAUCAGCGAGGAGAGGGCCCAGAGAUUGCUUUACCCCGCGAAUGUGGAACUAAAUACACUGCCUCUGGAAACGCUGAAGCUUAAGGAGAGUUUCACCAGCUGCGAUGCGAGCAGCUCCAAUGUGAUUGCCUUUGUGUCCAAGAUGUCACCUGUGCAUGUAACCCAACUGCCACAAAAUAGACCCAAGAGACUGACCGACCAGGAGCUGCAGCAACGUAGAGACGAAGUACGCCGUCGGAUUGAAGAACGAAAGCAGCAAACUGACCAAACUGAACUGGAGAAGAUUACCCAGGGUGUGGAGCAGCUGAGCUCCCAGGCAGAGGUAGCAAAAAAGGAGGAAUCCGAACCGGAGUCGGAACCCAACGAGUAUGUUUUCAUAGCCUUUGCCAGAGUGUUCAGUGGAACCUUGAAGCGUGGCAUGCAGCUGUUUAAUCUUUCGCCAAAACAUGAUCCUCGCCAGCCAACGCAUCGCAGGGAGGAUGAGGCUCCCUAUGCUAGCCGUGUGACCAUCGGCGAUCUUUACAUGUUCAUGGGCGGUGAGCUCCAACUUCUGGAUGAAGUGCCCGCAGGGAAUAUAGUUGGGAUCGGAGGCCUGGAAUCCCACAUUGUGAAGACAGCCACUUUGAGCAGCAGCUUGGACUGCACUUCCUUUAGUGAACUGAGUAUCAUGGCCACGCCCAUUCUCCGAGUGGCCAUCGAACCCGUUCAGCCGCAGGAUAUGCCGAAGCUGGUUAAAGGUUUGAAACUCCUGAACCAAGCCGAUGCCUGCGUCCAGGUGUCUGUGGCCACGACCGGUGAACAUGUGAUCACCACUCUCGGUGAGGUGCAUGUGGAGAAAUGUGUCCAUGAUUUGGAGCAGAGCUAUGCCAAGAUUAAGGUGAAUGUCUCCAAACCAAUUGUGUCGUUCAGGGAAACAAUUGUUCCAGCUGCCACCGUGGAUAUGGUGAAUGAGGCCAUUGUUAAGACGGCUGAGGAUAAGGAUGUGACCAAGAAGAUUGCUGUCCAGCAGACACUCAACAAACUGGGCACCCUCAAGGUGAUAGCGGUGCCCUUGCCGGUGGAGGCAGUGGAGCUUCUGGAAAAGCAUGCAGAGUUUUUCAAGGAACUAUCUGCCAUACCCCGAAAUCAACUCCUCUCAGAGAAGUGGACCACUUUGCUGGCUUCAAUCAAACUGAAACUGAUUGCUGCUCUCCAGGAACUUCAGUUGUUUGGCUUGAGUUCCCUCUCCCCCGAAGAGCUCGUGAAUCGAGUUUGGGCUCUGGGUCCUCGAAAUUGUGGCACCAACAUUCUACUUAACCUUAGCGACUAUGAGCAGCCGAACUUUUGGUCUAGUCACGCCAAGUCUUCGGAGACAGAUAUUCGUUCCGCAAGCGAUUCGCGUAAGGAUUUCAAUAGUUCUUUGGUGAAUGGCUUCCAAUUGACCUCGGGAGCGGGUCCUUUGUGCGAAGAGCCCAUGCAGGGUGUGUGUUUUGCCGUUCUCGAAUGGUCUAUUCAAUCGGAAGGAGAGGAUUUGAAUGCAAGAGGUCCCUUUUCGGGACAAGUUUUGACUGCUGCCAAGGAAGUGUGUCGUCAGGCAUUCCAGAAUCAACCACAAAGAUUGGUUACUCCCAUGUACAGCUGUAAUAUUGUGGUCAAUGCUGAAAUGUUGGGUAAAAUGUACGCAGUAAUUGGCCGGCGGCAUGGCAAAAUCCUCUCCGGUGAUUUAACCCAAGGAAGCGGCAACUUCGCGGUCACCUGUCUGUUGCCAGUGAUCGAGUCGUUCAACUUUGCCCAGGAGAUGCGAAAGCAGACAUCUGGCCUGGCCUGUCCCCAGCUCAUGUUCAGCCACUGGGAGGUGAUCGACAUUGAUCCUUUCUGGUUGCCCACCACCGAGGAGGAGCUAAUGCAUUUUGGCGAGAAGGCCGAUUCGGCCAACAGGGCCAAGCUCUACAUGGACAGUGUCCGAAGGAGGAAGGGUCUUUUCGUUGACGAACAGGUGGUGGAGCAUGCGGAGAAGCAGCGCACUUUAUCCAAGAACAAGUGAUUUGGAAACUAUAAAUACGAGGCGCUGGCGUCGGACCGAGCUCAUUCCGUCGGCGGCCCCCCGAGUGUUAACAUCUGUAGUGAUAGUGAUAGUGAUUUCCCUUCAACCCGGAAAAUAUCACCUGACCAGUGCGCUAUAUCUGGAUAACCAGGAGGAAGCUUACUUUGAUGCUAUCUAUUUGAAGUCACUAUACAAUGAAAGGAACUAAGCAAUGAUGACAAUGGAUGAUGUGUCCUCUAUUGGGACUAUAAAUACGAGGCGCUGGCGUCGGACCGAGCUCAUUCCGUCGGCGGCCCCCCGAGUGUUAACAUCUGUAGUGACAGUGAUAGUGAUUGCUCUUGACUUGAAUAAUAUCACCUGACCAAUGAAGUACAUCCGGAUAACCAGGAGGAAGCUAACAUUGAUGAUACCUAAUUAAACUCACUCUACAAUGGAAGGAACUAAGCAAUGAUGACCAAGGAUGAUGUGUCCUCUAUUGGGCUGCAAAAAUAUCGAUAGCAGUCCCCUGCUCAGAAACUGGUCACACUCAGCCCUAUUGACAUUGGCACUAGAGAUGGGCACCGCAGAUAGCGAUGUUUUUUAAUUAAAUUGGUUGUAUUUCAUAAUUUAAUUUAUUUUAAAUUAACGCUCUAUCGCAGGGACAUAGACAAAAUUUAAAGCAUUAACAAACGUCAAUAUAAGUUUAUUUUGUUAGUAGAGAAAUUUAAAUUUAAAUUUAGAAAGAUUUCAUUUACGUUCAUUUCAUCAUCAUCG